AGGUCAUUUCAAAGAGGGCUUACAUGGCUUUGAAACCAGAAGCUCUUAACGCUGUGACCUAAGAGGAAAAGUCUCUAUAGGAUGCCAUGAUUAAUUACCAUAAUUAUCAUGGUCUCUUACUAAUGAGAGAUACAAGC
This is a small nucleolar RNA of Phascolarctos cinereus (koala), 137 nucleotides long. NCBI's taxonomy places the organism in Eukaryota, Metazoa, Chordata, Mammalia, Diprotodontia, Phascolarctidae. The record is from Ensembl.